GCACAGACUAUGGAGACAUUAGGACUUU
Molecule: non-coding RNA, 28 nt
Filed under: Rattus norvegicus (Norway rat)
Lineage: Eukaryota; Metazoa; Chordata; Mammalia; Rodentia; Muridae
Source: RNAcentral